Molecule: ribosomal RNA, 305 nt
Filed under: uncultured bacterium
Lineage: Bacteria
Description: bacterial SSU rRNA
Rfam family: Bacterial small subunit ribosomal RNA
Source: RNAcentral
GUGCCUACGGGGGGCAGCAGUAGGGAAUCUUCCACAAUGGACGAAAGUCUGAUGGAGCAACGCCGCGUGAGUGAAGAAGGUGCCAAGCAUUGUAAACUUCUUUUGUCAAGGGACAAAAUCAGGCUCGAGAGCCUGACCGAGGGUACUUGAAGAAAAAGCAUCGGCUAACUCCGUGCCAGCAGCCGCGGUAAUACGGAGGAUGCGAGCGUUAUCCGGAUUUAUUGGGUUUAAAGGGUGCGUAGGCGGACUGUUAAGUCAGCGGUAAAAGCCCGGGGCUCAACCCCGGCGAGCCGUUGAAACUGGCU